UCGGCAUCCGUCAUGCUGCUCUCUUGGGAUUCGUCUGUGCCAGCUUGAAUGAGAAAGAAACAGUCAAACAUUACUGGGCUGCUGCACUCAGAGAUUCCCUCAGGAUCGACUCCAGCAUGUCACAGGCACAGCAGCAAUGGGUUGGGCUUCCCCUCCAAAUCCUUUAAAGCCAUGUGGCUUUUCCCCUUCUCCUUUUCACACCUUGACCCCUGAGAGCAUGACAAAGUCUAAAUGCAGUUUGAAAGGAAUUAACACAAAGUCCAUAUUAACAAAACCCGAAACCUCCAGCCCUGAGGUAGGGAGGGAUUGGAAUGGAGGGCUCCAAAAUAGCCUCAGGAGCAACUUAACCCUCCCCACUCCUUCCAAACACACCAGUUGCCCAAACCCCUCCUAUGAGUUACUCUCUGCAUUGGGACCACUCGAUUUACAAGCAAAUGAUGUUUCAUUAGUGGUGUUCAGCAGCUCCUUGCUCCCUGCUUCCCUAAUAGAAAAUAUGGCAUGAGGGAAGAGAAUGGCUCUGAGGAAGUGCAAACAGACCUUCCUGAUGCUGAUGGAUUACUCUGCUCCCUCAGCUCAGAUAAGGACUAGCCUAGAGCUUCCAGGAAAACUAGAUUCCUACUGGAAUGAAGACAGCAUGUAGCGCACCGUGUGCAAGAGAAAUGUGUACACACAGAGAGGCUACCCUUAAACAGUUAACUUCUAUCCUUGUUAAAAUGAGAACAAAGGUAAAUAUCUGGUGAUGGUUGUUCUUCACACACAGGAAUGUGACUUGACUCUACCUCCCAUGGUACACUUUAGCAUACUCACUGUAAAUUCCCAAAUAUGAAGCUGUUUCAUGGAGAAACACAGGUGCCUUUUAUGGCUUUAAUGCAAAUGCUUCACAGGUUUCUGUACCAUGGACACAGCCAGCCCCACGCACAAACUGGCUCACACCAGCCAAUAUAUCAAAAACAAGCCUCCCCAUCCCCACUAUUACCUUAAUAUACAUGAGACAAUCUCAAGUAACCUAAAAGAGUUAUUCAGCUCAGUCUGUGAAACUCUUCUGCAAUUUACAGAAUAAGAUCCCAGCCUGGUUUGGGUUGAAGGGACCUUAAAGCUCAUCCAGUUCCAUCCCCUGCCACGGGCAGGGACACCUUCCACUAGAGCAGGUUGCUCCAAGCCCCUGUGUCCAACCUGGCCUUGAACACUGCCAGGGAUGGGGCAGCCACAGCUUCUCUGGGCAUCCUGUGCCAGCGCCUCAGCAGUUUCCCACACAGGGAAACUGAAGUGCUUACAAACAGCCCUAUCCUGUUUUACUUUGCUUAUUGGGCACAUGAAGUUGGUGCGUUUUGCUUGUUUUGGUUUUUGUGUGUUUGGGUGUUUUCAGUCCUGGUUUAGGUCCCUCGGCAGCUCAAGUACUCUGUCUCCACCUCCUGGCCAGAAACAUGUUCAGCCCCAGCGAGCAGCGUUCUAAGUAGCCCAACUACAACAGCAGGGAGAGAAAACACUCCUGACACUUCAGGAAGUGCAGGGAAGAAUGAAUGAAUUCCGAGUGAAGAGCCUCUGGACUUCCUGCCAAGCAGCAGGGUUGAGCAGUGUGUUUCACCUAUUAAACCUGGGAUUCUACAAAGCCUGAAAUACCUCCUUGAAUGAGAAAGGGUUGGAAAUACAAACCUGAUUCAUAGGGGUAACAUUCA
Long non-coding RNA from Strigops habroptila (Kakapo), 1676 nucleotides. RefSeq lists it as uncharacterized. NCBI's taxonomy places the organism in Eukaryota, Metazoa, Chordata, Aves, Psittaciformes, Psittacidae. The record is from RefSeq and is a predicted model, not a curated record. The transcript is spliced from 2 exons.